UAUAGAUAUACCUAGAUAACGCGAAUGCACCUACUUCGCGUGUCCCGGUCCCGAUAAAUCAUCGGAAGGAGCUGCCGCUGCUUACAGUCCACGCGCGUCUGUUGUUGCAUGCGGACCGGCCGCGAAAACUAGAAAAAUGCCUCAAUGUGUGAUAAUAAAUUGCAAUAAGCCAAAAACUUCGAGCUCCCAAAGGCAAGGACAUAUUUCCUAUCACGGGAGGUAAACGAGCAGACGGAUCACCUGAUGGUAAGUGAUUACCGUCGCCCAUAGACACCCGCAAACCCAGGGGCGUUACAGUUUCCCACAAGAUGCAAUAUUAAAAGAAAAAUGGAUCGCGGCUACGGGACGGAAAGACUGGUUUCCGACAAAACAUAGUACCAUUUGUUCAAUUCAUUUUGAAAGUACCUGUUUUGAACCUUCAAAAAAGAAGAGAUUGUUAAAAAAAACGGCAUGCCCCACUAUACAUAUUAUGUA
Ostrinia nubilalis (European corn borer) is the source of this 474-nucleotide long non-coding RNA. RefSeq lists it as uncharacterized. NCBI's taxonomy places the organism in Eukaryota, Metazoa, Arthropoda, Insecta, Lepidoptera, Crambidae. The transcript has 3 exons. The record is from RefSeq and is a predicted model, not a curated record.